AUCAAUGAAUGCCUGUCAGACAGUGACAACAAAUGUGCAAUUAAAACCAAUUGUGUCAACAUUGAUGGCAGCUACACAUGUUCAUGUGAAGCAGGGACAAAGCUGGACAAUGAUGGCCGCUCUUGUAUUGAUUGUAGUGGUGAAACUUGGGGCAUACAGUGUAACAAGUCAUGUAGCUGUGGGUCAGGGGAAGAUUACUGUGAUCUAAAAACUGGUUGUGUUUGCAAGUCAGGAUACACUGGAACAUUAUGUAAUAUUGACAUUGAUGAAUGUACAACUGGAGCACAGCAAUGUGGCACCAAUGAGAAAUGUGUCAAUUUACCUGGAUCUGCUACCUGUCAAUGCCAAACUGGUUAUGUAAGAGAGA
Physella acuta is the source of this 367-nucleotide long non-coding RNA. RefSeq lists it as uncharacterized. The record is from RefSeq and is a predicted model, not a curated record. Lineage: Eukaryota; Metazoa; Mollusca; Gastropoda; Physidae.